GAGAUAUUAGUAAAAUCAUUACAUAACUUUGUCAAAGUUAAAUUAUAGAGUUAAAUCUGUAUAUCUUA
Molecule: transfer RNA, 68 nt
Filed under: Arvicanthis abyssinicus (Abyssinian grass rat)
Lineage: Eukaryota; Metazoa; Chordata; Mammalia; Rodentia; Muridae
Description: tRNA-Asp
Source: RNAcentral